Molecule: ribosomal RNA, 492 nt
Filed under: uncultured bacterium
Lineage: Bacteria
Description: bacterial SSU rRNA
Rfam family: Bacterial small subunit ribosomal RNA
Source: RNAcentral
GACGAACGCUGGCGGCGUGCUUAACACAUGCAAGUCGAACGAGAAUCUGUGGAAAGAGGAUUCGUCCAAUUGAAACAGAGGACAGUGGCGGACGGGUGAGUAACGCGUGAGGAACCUGCCUUUCAGAGGGGGACAACAGUUGGAAACGACUGCUAAUACCGCAUAACGCAUAGAGAUCGCAUGGUCUUUAUGCCAAAGAUUUAUCGCUGAAAGAUGGCCUCGCGUCUGAUUAGCUAGUUGGCGGGGUAACGGCCCACCAAGGCGACGAUCAGUAGCCGGACUGAGAGGUUGAACGGCCACAUUGGGACUGAGAUACGGCCCAGACUCCUACGGGAGGCAGCAGUGGGGAAUAUUGGGCAAUGGGCGCAAGCCUGACCCAGCAACGCCGCGUGAAGGAAGAAGGCUUCGGGUUGUAAACUCUUUUGUCAGGGACGAGGAGAAGACGGUACCUGACGAAUAAGCCACGGCUAACUACGUGCCAGCAGCCGCGGU